Molecule: ribosomal RNA, 573 nt
Filed under: Alternaria tenuissima
Lineage: Eukaryota; Fungi; Ascomycota; Dothideomycetes; Pleosporales; Pleosporaceae
Description: eukaryotic LSU rRNA
Rfam family: 5.8S ribosomal RNA (bases 197-350)
Source: RNAcentral
CUCCGUAGGUGAACCUGCGGAGGGAUCAUUACACAAAUAUGAAGGCGGGCUGGAACCUCUCGGGGUUACAGCCUUGCUGAAUUAUUCACCCUUGUCUUUUGCGUACUUCUUGUUUCCUUGGUGGGUUCGCCCACCACUAGGACAAACAUAAACCUUUUGUAAUUGCAAUCAGCGUCAGUAACAAAUUAAUAAUUACAACUUUCAACAACGGAUCUCUUGGUUCUGGCAUCGAUGAAGAACGCAGCGAAAUGCGAUAAGUAGUGUGAAUUGCAGAAUUCAGUGAAUCAUCGAAUCUUUGAACGCACAUUGCGCCCUUUGGUAUUCCAAAGGGCAUGCCUGUUCGAGCGUCAUUUGUACCCUCAAGCUUUGCUUGGUGUUGGGCGUCUUGUCUCUAGCUUUGCUGGAGACUCGCCUUAAAGUAAUUGGCAGCCGGCCUACUGGUUUCGGAGCGCAGCACAAGUCGCACUCUCUAUCAGCAAAGGUCUAGCAUCCAUUAAGCCUUUUUUUCAACUUUUGACCUCGGAUCAGGUAGGGAUACCCGCUGAACUUAAGCAUAUCAAUAAGCGAAGGAAA